AACAAGAAGAAUAUUUUUCACAUAAUUUAACAAAAUAUGAUCAAACUCCUUUUUUAAGAGGCUCAUUUUCGUUACAUCUCACGAUCUUCUAAAAUUUUUAUAUUUAACAAAUGUUACAAACAUGAGAGGCUUGUGCACCGAUAGUAUUGGAAGAAAAACAAGCACCAAAAAGAAAAUAUUGGAACCGAACUUCACAAUCUGCUUGAAAUCUGCUUGACUAGAAGUAAGUGCAUCAUGCAAUUACAUGUGUUAAGUAAUUUAGAAGUACCACUUCAAAGGAAAUUUCGACCAAAUUUAGAAAUUCAUUUCAAUUCUGAAUGGAACGGCAGGUUACACAAACUUGGACCACUAGCCUUGAAAUAAAAUUGAAAACUCAAAACAAAGUUAGGCUGGAUAUCUGGCCUGAAUCCUCAAAUGAAUACAGUACUCCAUAAUUACUUUAGUACAGAAUAAUGACCUAGUGAACAAGUAAUUGAAAGUUGUUAACAGUGUAAAAAAAUUGCUUAUAAAUAUGUCAUUAUUAUGCAAAACUGGACAAUUUUAAGUACUUCAUUGAUGACAAUGAAACUAAAGAUUACUAAAUUUUGAUAAAAUAAAUUUUCUGCUGUUCAAGUUUACACGCGAUGUGUCUUUGCAAAUUGAAACCUCGUGGAUGAAAGGGACAUCACAUGUAACUUGAAGGGAGCAAAGUUUUUUAACCGUGGAUUUUCAAGUUCAAUUUGGACGCAUGUUAACCUUGCCCAAAAGAUGAUUAGCAUAAAACAUUUUAUCCUAAUGACAAAAUAAAUAACUGGAACCCGUACCGUUUUGUGUUAAAGCAAUGCUUGACCAAAUGAUUCUCCUGAGGUAAGAAAAGAGACAACAUAUUCUGUUUCA
Molecule: long non-coding RNA, 876 nt
Filed under: Panax ginseng (ginseng)
Lineage: Eukaryota; Viridiplantae; Streptophyta; Magnoliopsida; Apiales; Araliaceae
Description: long non-coding RNA (PGIN_LNC004487)
Source: RNAcentral